UGGGCACCACCAGGAGUGGAGCCUGCGGCUUAAUUUGACUCAACACGGGGAAACUCACCCGGCCCGGACACCGGAAGGAUUGACAGAUUGAUAGCUCUUUCUUGAUUCGGUGGAUGGUGGUGCAUGGCCGUUCUUAGUUGGUGGAGCGAUCUGUCUGGUUAAUUCCGAUAACGAACGAGACUCUAGCCUAUUAAAUAGACGUCGGGUUCUCUGCACUCGACGGUCUUCUUAGAGGGACAAGGUGCUUUUAGCACCGCGAAACAGAGCAAUAACAGGUCUGUGAUGCCCUUAGAUGUCCGGGGCCGCACGCGCGCUACACUGAAGGAAGCAGCGUGUAACAACCUUGUUCUAACGAACUGGGUAACCCGUGGAACUUCCUUCAUGAUUGGGAUAGGGGUUUGCAAUUGUGCCCCUUGAACGAGGAAUUCCCAGUAAACACUAGUCAUCAGCUAGUGCUGAUUACGUCCCUGCCCUUUGUACACACCGCCCGUCGCUACUACCGAUUGAAUGGUUUAGUGA
Molecule: ribosomal RNA, 519 nt
Filed under: uncultured eukaryote
Lineage: Eukaryota
Description: SSU rRNA
Rfam family: Eukaryotic small subunit ribosomal RNA
Source: RNAcentral